RNAcentral lists this non-coding RNA (181 nucleotides) under human gut metagenome. RNAcentral's name for it is "Lysine riboswitch". It matches the Rfam family "Lysine riboswitch aptamer". Rfam says of the family: Riboswitches are metabolite binding domains within certain messenger RNAs that serve as precision sensors for their corresponding targets. Allosteric rearrangement of mRNA structure is mediated by ligand binding, and this results in modulation of gene expression. This family includes riboswitches that sense lysine in a number of genes involved in lysine metabolism, including lysC. The record is from RNAcentral.
UAUGAUAGAGGCGCGAUGCUCAAGAGUAGCUCCAUAAAAGCGGCGGGAACCGCGGGAGCGAAAGGGUGUGUCGCCGAAGGGUUUCCGGCUUCCCGGUCGGUUUCGCCUGGGUCGUCGGAUAAUAUCCGGCGGACUGUCGCCUUGAGCUUGUAUUGCAGGCUCAGGAGCGGAGAGCUGUCGG